Molecule: long non-coding RNA, 801 nt
Organism: Leptidea sinapis
Lineage: Eukaryota; Metazoa; Arthropoda; Insecta; Lepidoptera; Pieridae
Exons: 3
Source: RefSeq, a predicted model, not a curated record
UUGCCGAAUCAACAUGAGCAAGGAAUUUUUAAUGGAGUUUUUCAAAAUGUACCAAGAAAAACCUUGUUUAUGGGAUAAACAAGACCUGUCGUACAGCAAUAAGGAGCAUCGUUUGAAAGCUUUAAAGGAAUUACAUCAAAAAUACGCUAAAAUAUACAAAGGCGCCACGAUUGCGAAUAUGAAAAAGAAAAUCGAGAACUUACGAACUAAUUGUUAUAGAGAACUUAAAAAGGUUUUAGCUGCAAAAGCCAAAGGAGAGACGUAUAAACCUACUCUUUGGUACUAUGAUACGUUGUCGUUUCUUUACAAGGACAAAGAGCAAGACUUUAUUUAUACCCCGGCCUGCUCUUACUCAAGCGAUAACAACGAAGAGAAACAGAGCGAGAUAUAUGAAGUACUGUUAGUUGACAAUGAUGAUCAUAAUAUUGAGCCUGAAGAACAUUUAGAAACUAAUGAAUAUUUUGAACCUGAUCAUUCUGGUGAACCUGAAAUAAAAAGGCGAAAGUCCUCAUCAGUCAACUCAAUUUAUUUAGCAGACAAACAGCGGCAGCGAACGUCAACUUCGGCACCAUCUACCAGGAAUGCAGCGUGGAAAAGAGUACCUCUCGAAAUCAAAACGUUUGGCCAAACAAUUGCGUUACAACUCAAUGAAGUAGAGGAAUUUCAAAGAUUUAUCGCCGAAAAACUUAUAUCGGAUGUUAUUUUUAACGCUAGGAUGAAGAAGUUGACACCGGAUUCAUUCAUUCAUUUAUAAUCUAGACUACUAUAAUAUAAGUCCUAAGUAUAAACCUACUACAUUUU